RNAcentral lists this ribosomal RNA (269 nucleotides) under uncultured prokaryote. RNAcentral describes it as "partial 16S ribosomal RNA". It matches the Rfam family "Bacterial small subunit ribosomal RNA", at positions 524 to 792 of the family's 1533-position model. The record is from RNAcentral.
UACGGAGGAUGCAAGCGUUAUCCGGAUUUAUUGGGUUUAAAGGGUACGCAGGCGGAAGAUUAAGUCGGUGGUGAAAUUUUGCAGCUCAACUGUAAAAGUGCCAUUGAUACUGGUUUUCUUGAGUGUGGAUGAAGUAGGCGGAAUUUGUGGUGUAGCGGUGAAAUGCAUAGAUAUCACGAGGAACUCCGAUUGCGCAGGCAGCUUACUAAACCAUAACUGACGCUCAGGCACGAAGGCGUGGGGAUCAAACAGGAUUAGAUACCCCGGUA